AGAGUUUGAUCAUGGCUCAGGACGAACGCUGGCGGCAGGCUUAACACAUGCAAGUCGAGCGCGAAGCUCCUUUCGGGGAGUGGAGAGCGGCGGACGGGUGAGUAACGCGUGGGGACCUACCCUUCGGUGGGGGACAACCUCGGGAAACUGGGGCUAAUACCGCAUACGCCGGACCCUUUUGGGUUUGGGAAAGAUUUAUCGCCGAAGGAUGGACCCGCGUCCGAUUAGGUAGUUGGUGGGGUAACGGCCUACCAAGCCCGCGAUCGGUAGCUGGUCUGAGAGGACGAUCAGCCACACUGGGACUGAGACACGGCCCAGACUCCUACGGGAGGCAGCAGUGGGGAAUCUUGGACAAUGGGCGCAAGCCUGAUCCAGCCAUGCCGCGUGAGUGAAGAAGGCCUUCGGGUUGUAAACCUCUUUCACCGGUGAAGAUAAUGACGGUAGCCCGGAGAAGAAGCCCCGGCUAACUCCGUGCCAGCAGCCGCGGUAAUACGGGAGGGGGGCUAGCGUUGUUCGGAAUUACUGGGCGUAAAGCGCGCGUAGGCGGCGGAACAAGUUGGGCGUGAAAGCCCGGGGCUCAACCCCGGAUGUGCGCCCAAGACUGUUCUGCUCGAGGCCGAGAGAGGGUGGCGGAAUUCCCAGUGUAGAGGUGAAAUUCGUAGAUAUUGGGAAGAACACCAGUGGCGAAGGCGGCCACCUGGCUCGGUACUGAGCUGAGGGCGAAAGCGUGGGGAGCAAACAGGAUUAGAUACCCUAGUAGUCC
This 763-nucleotide ribosomal RNA is filed under the name uncultured bacterium. RNAcentral describes it as "bacterial SSU rRNA". It matches the Rfam family "Bacterial small subunit ribosomal RNA", at positions 8 to 796 of the family's 1533-position model. The record is from RNAcentral.